GGCGAUUUCUGUCGUCAUCACGGUCGACCUCCGAGUUCUUCUUCUGCGCGCGUGACGCUUUAAAGCUCCAGUCAGCUGCUCACCUGCGUGGAAAUGACGGAUUUCUGUUGCCGCGUUGGAACCAGUUUGUAAGCGUGCUGCUUUCACUGUGUUCUGUCAGCACACGAGACGGCCCACUUGUUCCUCUUGAUCCGAUCGACGCUUCGGCCUUCAUCGGGUGGUAUCUGCUCGGGGAGCUUAGCUCAUGCGGGUUCACGCAGACGCUGUCUCUCCUCGUCUCCGUAAAUCAGGAUUACGGUGCCGUCACUUGCAAUUAUGUCAGUAAUUACUGCCUUUCUGUCAUAAUUUAUCUGUCCAGCUUUCUCCACACACACACACACACACACACACACACACACACCUGCUUCAUUUCUAUUGUUUAUUUCUGCUGUGUUUUGUGUCUCUGAGCAGCGUGUGUCUAUUAUUUAUUUGUGUGCCUUGAAGGACAACAAUCAACACCCGGGACGAACGCGUCUCCGUCCCUCCGGUCAAUCCAUCGGCUCCCUUCACACCUGCUCCUCUCACGUCACCCUCCUCCUCCUCCUCCUCCUCUUCCUCUGUCUGUCUCCUUGUCAACAAAAAGAUCUUCAGACGAGAUUCAGGAUGAUGGAGUCAGGAGAUCAACACACACACACACACACAGUUUCGAAGGAGCCUCCUCUUCUUCGCCCGCAUCUUGUUUGUGAGUAAUAAUCUUUUACUGCAACAGAUAGAAAUCAAUUCUUCCUGUUUUUUUAGUACCAAUCCAUCUGCAGCCACUGAGCCUCACGAGCAGCGUCGUUAUAUUUACACAGACUUCCCACACGACGUACGAUACACAACCUCCCCUGCAUCCCACGGGCCUCCGCCUUGCCGCGUUGCAUUUGGGGCCCGAGUUUAACGCUGACCUACAUCUCAGCCGGUGACUCAUAACCCGCAGGAGAGGGGGAUUAAAACGCAGGCGGCACGCGGCAUCGCGAUUCAGAAACGGUGCUCAGGGCAACGAGAGGGGAGAUGCACGUGAGACGAUGGAGUUGGAGCGUGG
Gasterosteus aculeatus aculeatus (three-spined stickleback) is the source of this 1063-nucleotide long non-coding RNA. NCBI's taxonomy places the organism in Eukaryota, Metazoa, Chordata, Actinopteri, Perciformes, Gasterosteidae. The record is from Ensembl.